RNAcentral lists this ribosomal RNA (253 nucleotides) under uncultured bacterium. Its description in RNAcentral is "partial 16S ribosomal RNA". It matches the Rfam family "Bacterial small subunit ribosomal RNA", at positions 524 to 776 of the family's 1533-position model. The record is from RNAcentral.
UACGGAGGGUGCAAGCGUUAUCCGGAUUCACUGGGUUUAAAGGGUGCGUAGGCGGCCGAAUAAGUCAGUGGUGAAAGCCCGCAGCUUAACUGCGGAACUGCCAUUGAAACUGCUCGGCUUGAGUACUAUUGAAGUGGGUGGAAUGCAUCAUGUAGCGGUGAAAUGCUUAGAUAUGAUGCAGAACCCCGAUUGCGAAGGCAGCUCACUAAAUAGUAACUGACGCUGAGGCACGAAAGCGUGGGUAGCGAACAGG